Molecule: ribosomal RNA, 460 nt
Filed under: uncultured bacterium
Lineage: Bacteria
Description: partial 16S ribosomal RNA
Rfam family: Bacterial small subunit ribosomal RNA
Source: RNAcentral
CCUACGGGUGGCUGCAGUGAGGAAUAUUGGUCAAUGGACGAGAGUCUGAACCAGCCAAGUAGCGUGAAGGAUGACUGCCCUAUGGGUUGUAAACUUCUUUUAUAUGGGAAUAAAAUGCUCCACGUGUGGCUUUUUGCAUGUACCUUAUGAAUAAGGAUCGGCUAACUCCGUGCCAGCAGCCGCGGUAAUACGGAGGAUCCGAGCGUUAUCCGGAUUUAUUGGGUUUAAAGGGAGCGUAGGUGGAUUGUUAAGUCAGUUGUGAAAGUUUGCGGCUCAACCGUAAAAUUGCAGUUGAAACUGGCAGUCUUGAGUACAGUUGAGGUAGGCGGAAUUCGUGGUGUAGCGGUGAAAUGCUUAGAUAUCACGAAGAACCCCGAUUGCGAAGGCAGCUCACUAAACUGUGACUGACACUGAGGCUCGAAAGUGUGGGUAUCAAACAGGAUUAGAUACCCUGGUAGUC